This 426-nucleotide ribosomal RNA is filed under the name uncultured bacterium. Its description in RNAcentral is "bacterial SSU rRNA". It matches the Rfam family "Bacterial small subunit ribosomal RNA", at positions 354 to 796 of the family's 1533-position model. The record is from RNAcentral.
GUGGGGAAUAUUGCGCAAUGGGGGAAACCCUGACGCAGCAACGCCGCGUGGAGGAUGAAGGUUUUCGGAUUGUAAACUCCUUUGAUGAGGGACGAAAAAUGACGGUACCUCAAAAACAAGCCACGGCUAACUACGUGCCAGCAGCCGCGGUAAUACGUAGGUGGCGAGCGUUGUCCGGAAUUACUGGGUGUAAAGGGCGUGUAGGCGGGAUUUUAAGUCAGAUGUGAAAUUCUGAGGCUCAACCUCAGAGCUGCAUCUGAAACUAAGAUUCUUGAGUGCUGGAGAGGAUAGUGGAAUUCCUAGUGUAGCGGUGAAAUGCGUAGAUAUUAGGAGGAAUAUCAAAAGCGAAGGCGAUCUGCUGGGAUGAUACUGACGCUGAGGCACGAAAGCGUGGGGAGCAAACAGGAUUAGAAACCCGUGUAGUCC